This 253-nucleotide ribosomal RNA is filed under the name uncultured bacterium. RNAcentral's name for it is "partial 16S ribosomal RNA". It matches the Rfam family "Bacterial small subunit ribosomal RNA", at positions 524 to 776 of the family's 1533-position model. The record is from RNAcentral.
UACGUAGGGUGCAAGCGUUGUCCGGAAUUAUUGGGCGUAAAGAGCUCGUAGGCGGUUUGUCGCGUCUGCCGUGAAAGUCCGGGGCUCAACUCCGGAUCUGCGGUGGGUACGGGCAGACUAGAGUGAUGUAGGGGAGACUGGAAUUCCUGGUGUAGCGGUGAAAUGCGCAGAUAUCAGGAGGAACACCGGUGGCGAAGGCGGUUCUCUGGGCAUGAUCUGACGCUGAGGAGCGAAAGUGUGGGGAGCGAACAGG